UGCAGAUGUUGGGAGCGGACCGCGGGUCC
Molecule: small RNA, 29 nt
Filed under: Bombyx mori (domestic silkworm)
Lineage: Eukaryota; Metazoa; Arthropoda; Insecta; Lepidoptera; Bombycidae
Description: ovarian small RNA-33506
Source: RNAcentral